RNAcentral lists this long non-coding RNA (857 nucleotides) under Brassica napus (rape). RNAcentral's name for it is "long non-coding RNA (BNAP_LNC008112)". The record is from RNAcentral. Lineage: Eukaryota; Viridiplantae; Streptophyta; Magnoliopsida; Brassicales; Brassicaceae.
CAACCUUUUGCUCUCUUCCUUAUUUGUACUUCCAAGACAUCAGCUUCAAGAUUUUCAAACCGAGAAGAAGAAUUUAAUCUCUAUAUUUUCAAGCUCCGUCGCCAAAUCAAUAACAGAGACUCACUGUCAAUGCAGUUACGAACUCAAGCGGAGGAACAGAGCAAACCUGGGAAUCAAGCAGCAACAUAUCGACUCCCAUGAGUUCGCCACCGCAUCCGAUGUUCCUGGCCUCCCAAUAACAGAGCAACUGCACUUGAACGGUGGAAUAGCAUUAGCCAUACUGAAAAUAAAAUUACUGGUUUCGGAAUACGAAAGGAGGAGAUGAUUCUCAUAGCAUGAAAGCAUACCCUUUUAUAGUCGAAAUUCCACCGCCUUUCAUGAGUUAAGAUCGCAUUCAAGAGAGAUCAUGGGUAUGUAUUUAAGAAAGAGUUGAAGAGGGGUAAUCUGUAACCGGUAUCACUGCAGAUUGAUAAGGAAGAAGAUGAAACGCUCGCUCUUGGAACACAGGUUAAGCCUCGAUCUCCAAUGGCGGAGAAGUAUGCUUCAACCCUAAUUGCAAAAACAGUUAAUACGCGUUUAAACUAAGACAUACUGGAAUCGGGCUGUACCAAUUUUGAGAAUACAGAUAAAGCCCGUAGCAAUGAAGCCCAUAAGCCAACCAAAAUUAAUGAAACGCUGCGGAUCAGAGUACAUGACACGUGUCGAGCCGUCUGAAGCCGAUUUUCUGACCUGGCGUCCGACGUGUCACAACCUGGAGAGAAAGAACUGUCUUUUAUAUAUAAAGAUGUUUGAUGUACUGUUAAUAGUAUGAUAGUUCAAUUUUUUAAAAGAAAAUGUGAAAUUUAUUAUAGUUUUUU